Molecule: ribosomal RNA, 773 nt
Filed under: uncultured Neocallimastigales
Lineage: Eukaryota; Fungi; Neocallimastigomycota; Neocallimastigomycetes; Neocallimastigales
Description: partial large subunit ribosomal RNA
Rfam family: Eukaryotic large subunit ribosomal RNA
Source: RNAcentral
UCAGACGAUGCGUCAUGCAUAUCAAUAAGCGAGGAAAAGAAACUAACAAGGAUUCCCCUAGUAACGGCGAGUGAAGCGGGAAGAGCUCAAAUUUGAAAUCUUAAAGGGUUUCCCUUUACGAAUUGUAGUUUAAAGAAGUGUUUUCUGUUGAGGUUUUGGUAAAAGUUCUUUGGAAUAGGACAUCAUAGAGGGUGAGAAUCCCGUAUUUGACCUUUACUUUCAACUUUGUGAUACACUUUCAAAGAGUCGGAUUGUUUGGGAAUGCAGUCCAAAAUGGGUGGUAAAUUUCAUCUAAAGCUAAAUAUUGGCGAGAGACCGAUAGCGAACAAGUACCGUGAGGGAAAGAUGAAAAGAACUUUGAAAAGAGAGUUAAACAGUACGUGAAAUUGUCAAAAGGGAAGCGUUUGACACCAGUGUUGUUUUUCUGAAAAUCAAUUAAAGAACUGUUUAUGCUAAGUUGUUUAGACUUUAUCAGCUAACUGUUUAGUUUUGAGCUUUUCUUUAAUGCACUUUUCAGUUAACAAGUCAACAUCAAUUUCUUUUGCUGUAAAAAAGCUUGAGGAAGGUGGCUUGAGAUUCGUCUUAAGUGUUUAUAGCCUCUUGCCUAUGCAGUCGGAGAGAUUGAGGUCUGCAGCGUAGAUCCUUCGGGGCUAAAUGCAUUUGUGCUAAGUUAUAGCAUUUUAUAGACAACUUGUUGACUAUGAUUUGUCUUGUAGCUUACUCGCUUAUGUUAUUUUACCUACGCUUAGGAUGUUGAGCGCAUGUCUCUCUCU